This 656-nucleotide ribosomal RNA is filed under the name uncultured bacterium. RNAcentral's name for it is "SSU rRNA". It matches the Rfam family "Bacterial small subunit ribosomal RNA", at positions 245 to 915 of the family's 1533-position model. The record is from RNAcentral.
GUAGUUGGUGAGGUAAAGGCUCACCAAGCCCACGAUCGUUAACUGGUCUGAGAGGAUGAUCAGUCAGACUGGAACUGAGAUACGGUCCAGACUCCUACGGGAGGCAGCAGUGAGGAAUCUUCCACAAUGGGCGAAAGCCUGAUGGAGCGACGCCGCGUGCAGGAUGAAGGCCUUCGUGUUGUAAACUGCUUUUAUAAGUGAAGAAUAUGACGGUAACUUAUGAAUAAGCACCGGCUAACUACGUGCCAGCAGCCGCGGUCAUACGUAGGGUGCAAGCAUUAUCCGGAGUGACUGGGCGUAAAGAGUUGCGUAGGUGGACAAGUAAGCGAAUAGUGAAAUGUGGCGGCUCAACCGUACACACUAUUGUUCGAGCUGCUCAUCUCGAGAAUGGUAGAGGUAACUGGAAUUUCUAGUGUAGGAGUGAAAUCCGUAGAUAUUAGAAGGAACACCAAUGGCGUAGGCAGGUUACUGGACCAUUUCUGACACUAAGGCACGAAAGCGUGGGGAGCGAACCGGAUUAGAUACCCGGGUAGUCCACGCCGUAAACUAUGGAUACUAGCUGUUGGAGGUAUCGACCCCUUCAGUAGCGAAGCUAACGCGUUAAGUAUCCCGCCUGUGGAGUACGGUCGCAAGACUAAAACUCAAAGGAAUUGACG